Molecule: unclassified non-coding RNA, 375 nt
Filed under: uncultured Actinomycetes bacterium
Lineage: Bacteria; Bacillati; Actinomycetota; Actinomycetes
Description: uncultured actinobacterium contains 16S-23S intergenic spacer region
Source: RNAcentral
UCCGAGUUGACCCCGGCAGUCUCCCAUGAGUCCCCGGCAUAACCCGCUGGCAACAUGGGACAAGGGUUGCGCUCGUUGCGGGACUUAACCCAACAUCUCACGACACGAGCUGACGACAACCAUGCACCACCUGUGCAGGACCCUUGCGGACCCCGUAUCUCUACGAGAUUUCCCUGCAUGUCGAGCCUUGGUAAGGUUCUUCGCGUUGCGUCGAAUUAAGCCACAUGCUCCGCCGCUUGUGCGGGCCCCCGUCAAUUCCUUUGAGUUUUAGCCUUGCGGCCGUACUCCCCAGGCGGAUGACUUAACGCGUUAGCUGCGCCACCGAAACGCUAAGCGCUCCGACGGCUAGUCAUCAUCGUUUACGGCGUGGACUAC